AGUGGCGGAUGGGUGAGUAACACGUGAGAAUCUGCCAACUGGACGGGGAUAACAGAGGGAAACCGCUGCUAAGACCCGAUAAACCGAGAGGGGAAAAAUUAAUUGCCAGUUGAUGAGCUCGCGACGGAUUAGCUAGUUGGUAGUGUAAGGGACUACCAAGGCGACGAUCCGUAGCCGGUCUGAGAGGACGAUCGGCCACACUGGGACUGAGACACGGCCCAGACUCCUACGGGAGGCAGCAGUGGGGAAUUUUCCGCAAUGGGCGAAAGCCUGACGGAGCAAGACCGCGUGAGGGAGGAAGGCUCUUGGGUUGUAAACCUCUUUUCUCAAGGAAGAAGCAAUGACGGUACUUGAGGAAUCAGCAUCGGCUAACUCCGUGCCAGCAGCCGCGGUAAUACGGAGGAUGCAAGCGUUAUCCGGAAUGAUUGGGCGUAAAGCGUCCGCAGGUGGCAGUUCAAGUCGGUCGUCAAAGACUCCAGCUUAACUGGAGAAAGGCGGUGGAAACUGAACCGCUAGAGUGCGGUAGGGGCAGAGGGAAUUCCCGGUGUAGCGGUGAAAUGCGUAGAGAUCGGGAAGAACACCAGUGGCGAAAGCGCUCUGCUGGACCGCAACUGACACUCAGGGACGAAAGCUAGGGGAGCGAAUGGGAUUAGAUACCCCAGUAGUCCUAGCCGUAAACGAUGGAUACUAGGUGUUGUGCGUAUCGACCCGCGCAGUGCCGCAGCUAACGCGCUAAGUAUCCCGCCUGGGGAGUACGCACGCAAGUGUGAAACUCAAAGGAAUUGACGGGGGCCCGCACAAGCGGUGGAGUAUGUGGUUUAAUUCGAUGCAACGCGAAGAACCUUACCAGGACUUGACAUGUCCGGGAUCUUUGGGAAACCAGAGAGUGCCUUCGGGAACCGGAACACAGGUGGUGCAUGGCUGUCGUCAGCUCGUGUCGUGAGAUGUUGGGUUAAGUCCCGCAACGAAGCGCAACCCUCGUUUCUAGUUGCCAGCAUUGAGUUGGGCACUCUGGAGAGACUGCCGGUG
This 1029-nucleotide ribosomal RNA is filed under the name uncultured cyanobacterium. RNAcentral's name for it is "bacterial SSU rRNA". It matches the Rfam family "Bacterial small subunit ribosomal RNA", at positions 94 to 1157 of the family's 1533-position model. The record is from RNAcentral. Lineage: Bacteria; Bacillati; Cyanobacteriota.